This 479-nucleotide ribosomal RNA is filed under the name uncultured bacterium. RNAcentral's name for it is "partial 16S ribosomal RNA". It matches the Rfam family "Bacterial small subunit ribosomal RNA", at positions 28 to 507 of the family's 1533-position model. The record is from RNAcentral.
GAUGAACGCUGGCGGCGUGCUUAACACAUGCAAGUCGAACGAAGCACUUAUCUUUGAUUCUUCGGAUGAAGAGGUUUGUGACUGAGUGGCGGACGGGUGAGUAACGCGUGGGUAACCUGCCUCAUACAGGGGGAUAACAGUUAGAAAUGACUGCUAAUACCGCAUAAGACCACGGAGCCGCAUGGCUCAGUGGGAAAAACUCCGGUGGUAUGAGAUGGACCCGCGUCUGAUUAGGUAGUUGGUGGGGUAACGGCCUACCAAGCCAACGAUCAGUAGCCGACCUGAGAGGGUGGCCGGCCACAUUGGGACUGAGACACGGCCCAAACUCCUACGGGAGGCAGCAGUGGGGAAUAUUGCACAAUGGGGGAAACCCUGAUGCAGCGACGCCGCGUGAGCGAAGAAGUAUUUCGGUAUGUAAAGCUCUAUCAGCAGGGAAGAAAAUGACGGUACCUGACUAAGAAGCACCGGCUAAAUACGUG